Molecule: ribosomal RNA, 440 nt
Filed under: uncultured bacterium
Lineage: Bacteria
Description: partial 16S ribosomal RNA
Rfam family: Bacterial small subunit ribosomal RNA
Source: RNAcentral
CCUACGGGGGGCAGCAGUGGGGGAUAUUGCACAAUGGGGGGAACCCUGAUGCAGCGACGCCGCGUGGGUGAAGAAGCGCCUCGGCGCGUAAAGCCCUGUCAGCAGGGAAGAAAAUGACGGUACCUGAAGAAGAAGCCCCGGCUAACUACGUGCCAGCAGCCGCGGUAAUACGUAGGUGGCAAGCGUUGUCCGGAUUUACUGGGCGUAAAGGGCGUGCAGCCGGGAAGACAAGUCAGAUGUGAAAUCCCGCGGCUCAACCACGGAACUGCAUUUGAAACUGUUUUUCUUGAGUACCGGAGAGGUCAUCGGAAUUCUUUGUGUAGCGGUAAAAUGCGUAGAUAUCACGAAGAACACUGAUUGCGAAGGCAGUUCACUAGACUGCAACUGACACUGAGGCGCGAAAGUGUGGGUAGCAAACAGGAUUAGAUACCCCUGUAGUC